This 480-nucleotide ribosomal RNA is filed under the name Calipandalus elachys. RNAcentral describes it as "partial 16S ribosomal RNA". It matches the Rfam family "Bacterial large subunit ribosomal RNA", at positions 1852 to 2588 of the family's 2925-position model. The record is from RNAcentral. Lineage: Eukaryota; Metazoa; Arthropoda; Malacostraca; Decapoda; Pandalidae.
GUCUGGCCUGCCCACUGAAGUAAUUUAAAGGGCCGCGGUAAUUUGACCGUGCGAAGGUAGCAUAAUCAAUAGUCUUUUAAUUGAAGGCUGGAAUGAAUGGUCGGACAAAGAAUUGACUGUCUCUUUUACAUUUCUUUAACUUUACUUUUAAGUGAAAAGGCUUAAAUAAAAUUAGGGGACGAUAAGACCCUAUAAAACUUUAUAGGCAUGCUUCUACUUUUUGAAAUGACGUUUAAUAUCAACUAAAAGCUACCUAUUAUGUUGGGGAGACAAAGAUAUAAUAAGUAACUGUCAUUAAAACAAUAUAAUAAUAAUUAGGUUAAUUGAUCCUCUAUAUAGAGAUUAUAAGAUCAAGUUACUUUAGGGAUAACAGCGUAAUUUUCUUUGAGAGUUCCUAUCGACAAGAGUAGUUGCGACCUCGAUGUUGAAUUAAGAUUUCUUUCAAGUGUAGCAGCUUGGUGAGUGGGUCUGUUCGACCUU